CGGGGGGCAGUCAGUUGAGGCGGCGGGAGCUCGGCGGAGGGCGGGCCAGGUGACUGGUCCGGGCCAUGCCGAGGAAGAAGCCAUUCAGCGUGAAGCAGAAGAAGAAGCAGUUGCAGGACAAACGGGAGCGGAAGAGAGGGCUUCAAGAUGGGCUGCGCUCCAGUUCCAACAGCCGCAGCGGGAGCCGGGAGCGGCGAGAGGAACAGACCGACACCUCGGACGGGGAGUCUGUGACCCAUCAUAUCCGCAGGCUUAACCAGCAGCCUUCUCAGGGGCUGGGUCCACGAGGCUACGACCCAAAUCGAUACCGACUGCAUUUUGAGAGAGACAGCAGGGAGGAGGUAGAGAGGAGAAAGAGAGCAGCCCGGGAGCAAGUUCUACAGCCGGUCAGUGCUGAGGUGUUGGAGCUGGACAUCCGGGAGGUGUAUCAACCUGGCUCAGUUCUGGACUUUCCUCGACGUCCUCCUUGGAGCUAUGAGAUGUCCAAGGAGCAACUAAUGAGCCAAGAGGAACGGAGCUUCCAAGACUAUCUUGGGAAGAUUCAUGGGGCUUACUCCUCUGAGAAACUCAGCUACUUUGAGCACAAUCUGGAGACAUGGAGGCAGCUGUGGCGGGUGUUAGAGAUGUCUGACAUCGUCCUGCUUAUCACUGAUAUCCGACAUCCAGUUGUGAAUUUCCCGCCAGCACUUUAUGAGUAUGUGACUGGAGAACUUGGGCUGGCCCUGGUGCUGGUUUUGAACAAGGUGGAUCUGGCCCCGCCUGCUCUUGUGGUUGCCUGGAAGCAUUAUUUCCAUCAACACUAUCCCCAGCUCCACGUCGUCCUUUUCACCUCUUUUCCUCGGGACCCCCGCACCCCACAGGACCCUAGUAGUGUCUUGAAGAAGAGUCGGAGGCGGGGGAGAGGAUGGACUCGGGCCCUGGGGCCAGAGCAGUUGCUGAGAGCCUGUGAAGCCAUCACUGUGGGGAAAGUGGACUUGAGCAGCUGGCGGGAGAAGAUUGCUCGGGAUGUGGCUGGGGCCACCUGGGGUAAUGGCUCUGGGGAGGAGGAGGAAGAGGAGGAUGGCCCAGCAGUCCUGGUGGAGCAGCAGACUGAUUCAGCAAUGGAGCCAACUGGCCCAACCCGAGAGCGCUACAAGGAUGGGGUGGUGACCAUCGGCUGUGUGGGUUUCCCUAAUGUGGGAAAGUCCUCGCUGAUCAAUGGGCUGGUGGGGCGGAAAGUCGUGAGUGUCUCCAGAACCCCGGGCCAUACCCGAUACUUUCAGACCUACUUUCUUACCCCCUCUGUGAAGCUCUGUGACUGCCCAGGCCUCAUCUUCCCAUCUCUUCUGCCUAGGCAGUUGCAGGUUCUGGCAGGGAUCUACCCUAUCGCCCAGAUCCAGGAGCCCUACACUGCUGUGGGCUACCUGGCCUCCCGAAUUCCCGUGCAGGCCCUGCUCCACCUGCGCCACCCAGAGGCUGAGGACCCCUCAGCGGAACACCCCUGGUGUGCCUGGGACAUCUGUGAAGAGAUUCUGCCAUUGAUGAAGCUGCUGUCCACUCACCCCUAGAUUUUUGUUGCAUAGCCACCUGGGCAGAGAAACGUGGUUACAAGACAGCCAAGGCGGCUCGGAAUGAUGUGUACAGAGCAGCCAACAGUCUCUUGCGGCUGGCAGUGGACGGCCGCCUCAGCCUGUGUUUUCAUCCCCCAGGCUACAGUGAACAGAAAGGCACCUGGGAGUCCCAUCCAGAGACCACGGAGCUGGUGGUUUUGCAGGGCAGGGUGGGGCCAGCAGGUGACGAGGAGGAGGAGGAAGAGGAAGAGCUGAGCAGCUCCUGUGAGGAGGAGGGAGAGGAGGACCGGGAUGCGGAUGAGGAGGGAGAAGGGGAUGAGGAGACCCCAACCUCGGCUCCAGGGUCCAGCCUGGCUGGCCGAAACCCUUAUGCCCUGCUGGGUGAGGAUGAGUGCUGAGUUCCUCGCCCAGCACCAUCUUCCCUCCCAGUAUCUUUGCUUUUGGACUGACCUGGGGGUAUCUCCCCUUUGCCACCCCAAUUGUGAAUAAAGAUUGUUUGCUUUGUA
RNA transcript from Pan troglodytes (chimpanzee), 2056 nucleotides. It is a transcript of the gene named G protein nucleolar 1 (putative), with no coding region annotated. The transcript has 13 exons. The record is from RefSeq and is marked provisional. NCBI's taxonomy places the organism in Eukaryota, Metazoa, Chordata, Mammalia, Primates, Hominidae.